Argiope bruennichi is the source of this 1483-nucleotide RNA transcript. It is a transcript of the gene named mitoferrin-1-like, with no coding region annotated. NCBI's taxonomy places the organism in Eukaryota, Metazoa, Arthropoda, Arachnida, Araneae, Araneidae. The transcript has 6 exons. The record is from RefSeq and is a predicted model, not a curated record.
AAUAUCGUGGAGCAAUUGCGCCGCCUUCACUGUGAAGUGUCCCUUUUUUUAUCUGCUCUUAGAGAUGGAAGUCAUACCGAUUCUUGUCGUGAAACUCAAGGCAUGCUUAUGUUCAUUAAUUUAUAAUGUUUUUUGAAUUUUUAUUUUGACACCUUGAAAUUAAACAGUAAGCAGACAUGGACUUUGACGAUUAUGAAACUUUACCGACAAAUUCCACAGCGACUCACAUGGUUGCAGGAUCAUUCGCUGGAAUAAUGGAACAUUGUCUGAUGUAUCCUGUGGAUUCCGUGAAGACACGUAUGCAGAGCUUGAGACCCCAUCCAAAAGCAAAAUAUCGUAAUAUUCCUGAAGCUUUCUCAAAAAUGGUGCGUCAUGAAGGUUUGUUUCGUCCUGUUCGAGGGAUAUCUGCUGUAAUGAUAGCAGCUGGACCUGCUCAUGCAUUGCAUUUUUCAUGCUAUGAAAAAAUGAAGAGAAUUCUUAGCGGCACAGAAAAUGGUGUGGGUAGUCCAAUUGCUCAAGGAAUGGCUGGUGCAUUAUCUACAAUCCUUCAUGAUGCAGUUAUGAAUCCAGCUGAAGUUGUGAAACAACGAAUGCAAAUAUACGGAAGCCCUUACCUUAGCUGCACUGAUUGUUUUAGAAAAGUGAUUUAUUCAGAAGGUAUCCGGGCCUUGUAUCGAAGUUAUACUACUCAGUUAACUAUGAAUAUACCAUUUCAAAGCGUUCAUUUUAUGACCUAUGAAUUUUGUCAAGAUUUAUCAAAUCAUCAAAGGACUUACAAUCCGAUGGCUCAUAUGUUAUCAGGUGCUGUAUCCGGUGCUGUUGCUGCUGCUAUCACUAAUCCUUUAGAUGUUUGCAAAACAUUAUUAAAUACUCAAGAGCAACAGGUUAUUAGUUCACUUAAUACUAAACAGACCCAUAUUAGUGGAUUUAUAAAUGCAUUUUAUACAGUUUAUAGAUUUAGUGGAUUUAAAGGAUAUUUUAGAGGACUGAAAGCUCGAGUUAUAUAUCAAGUCCCAUCAGCAGCUAUAUCAUGGUCUGUGUAUGAAUUUUUCAAAUACACUCUUGCCUUUAAAUACCAAAAUCGCCAGCAUAGCUACAAACAAGACCAUGGUCCUCUGAUUGCACAUGCUAGUUCAAUUGAAAAUUCAAGUCCACCACCCAUCGCAGCAUUACCAGUGGCUUAUAGUAAAUGAGUUAAGAAAAUCUUCUCUUGGAUAGAAAGUGAAAUUCAGUUCACUGCAAUACCAAUAUUUUUCUGAAUCAUCAUGGUAAAUAUUCUGGCUAAUUUUGCAAACAUUUGUUCAUCAAGAGUCAGCAUCUGUAUGAAAUGGAAACGUCUGUUUUAAGAAAGAGCUAUACUAAUACCAUGUGAUAGUUUGGAACCACUUGUUAUCCAAGCAUGUGACUAAAUAAAAAUCAAUAAUUGUUCUGUUUGUGUAAUAGAAAUAAAAAUUAUUGUUUUUAAAUAAAUUUAUAAAAUGCA